Molecule: transfer RNA, 85 nt
Filed under: Gemmataceae bacterium
Lineage: Bacteria; Pseudomonadati; Planctomycetota; Planctomycetia; Gemmatales; Gemmataceae
Description: tRNA-Tyr
Rfam family: tRNA
About the family: Transfer RNA (tRNA) molecules are approximately 80 nucleotides in length. Their secondary structure includes four short double-helical elements and three loops (D, anti-codon, and T loops).
Source: RNAcentral
GGGCAGGUGGCCGAGCGGCCAAUGGCAUCAGGCUGUAAACCUGACGGAUUUAUUUCCUACGGGGGUUCAAAUCCCUCCCUGCCCA